This 77-nucleotide transfer RNA is filed under the name Opitutaceae bacterium. RNAcentral's name for it is "tRNA-Val". The record is from RNAcentral. Lineage: Bacteria; Pseudomonadati; Verrucomicrobiota; Opitutia; Opitutales; Opitutaceae.
CGGGGGAUAGUGAAAUAGUCAUCACGCCUGGCCUACACCCAGUUGAAUUCACGGUGCGAAUCCGUGUCGCCCGACCA